ACCCCCGUGGCCCAACUGGAUAAAGGUACCGGUCUACGAAACCGGGGAUGCAGGUUCAAGUCCUGCCGGGGGUAC
This 75-nucleotide transfer RNA is filed under the name Virus Rctr197k. RNAcentral's name for it is "tRNA-Arg". It matches the Rfam family "tRNA". From Rfam's summary of the family: Transfer RNA (tRNA) molecules are approximately 80 nucleotides in length. Their secondary structure includes four short double-helical elements and three loops (D, anti-codon, and T loops). Lineage: Duplodnaviria; Heunggongvirae; Uroviricota; Caudoviricetes. The record is from RNAcentral.